CCUACGGGAGGCUGCAGUAGGGAAUAUUGCUCAAUGGGGGAAACCCUGAAGCAGCAACGCCGCGUGGAGGAUGAAGGUUUUCGGAGUGUAAACGCCUUUUGUUAGAGAAGAGAAUGACGGUAGCUAACGAAUAAGCACCGGCUAACGCCGUGCCAGCAGCCGCGGUAAUACGGAGGGUGCAAGCGUUACUCGGAAUCACUGGGCGUAAAGAGCGCGUAGGCGGGAUAGCAAGUCAGAUGUGAAAUCCUAGGGCUUAACCAUAGAACUGCAUUUGAAACUGUUAUUCUAGAGUAUGGGAGAGGUAGGUGGUAUUCUUGGUGUAGUGGUUAACUCCGUCGAGCUC
This 343-nucleotide ribosomal RNA is filed under the name uncultured bacterium. RNAcentral's name for it is "partial 16S ribosomal RNA". It matches the Rfam family "Bacterial small subunit ribosomal RNA", at positions 338 to 698 of the family's 1533-position model. The record is from RNAcentral.